RNAcentral lists this ribosomal RNA (392 nucleotides) under uncultured bacterium. RNAcentral describes it as "partial 16S ribosomal RNA". It matches the Rfam family "Bacterial small subunit ribosomal RNA", at positions 523 to 918 of the family's 1533-position model. The record is from RNAcentral.
AUACGGAAGAUGCGAGCGUUAUCCGGAUUUAUUGGGUUUAAAGGGAGCGUAGGCGGGUUCUUAAGUCUGCGGUAAAAUGUCGGCGCUCAACGCCGGCCUGCCGUGGAAACUGGGGACCUUGAAUGUGCACAAGGAAGGUGGAAUUCGUGGUGUAGCGGUGAAAUGCUUAGAUAUCACGAAGAACUCCGAUUGCGAAGGCAGCCUUCUGGGGCAUGAUUGACGCUGAGGCUCGAAAGCGCGGGAAUCAAACAGGAUUAGAUACCCUGGUAGUCCGCGCCGUAAACGAUGAGUGCCCGUCCUUGGCGAUAUAUUGUCAGGGACCGAGCGAAAGCAUUGAGCACUCCACCUGGGGAGUACGCCGGCAACGGUGAAACUUAAAGGAAUUGGCGGGG